This 354-nucleotide long non-coding RNA is filed under the name Fukomys damarensis (Damara mole-rat). RNAcentral's name for it is "lncRNA (ENSFDAG00000032204.1)". Lineage: Eukaryota; Metazoa; Chordata; Mammalia; Rodentia; Bathyergidae. The record is from RNAcentral.
CUUAAGAUUUCUUUGACAACGGUGCUUAUUUAGUUUGUAACAGCUACCAGAAAGGAUCCCCACAUCGGCUGCAGGUCAUGUAUGCACAGGAAUGGGGAACAGCGGAGUCCGAUUACUCUCCACACCGGGGCAGACAGAUGCCAAGUUGGUCCCACACAAGAUGGCUCCGUGCUCCCGGUCUUCCUGCCCCAUCACCGCAGGGCUCAGGCCCAGCACAGUCAGGAAAGACCAGCAGGUAAGCAGGCCGUGGGGACCUGCGGGCCAAUUUUCAGCACGGGCAGAGGGGAGCUUGGAGAAGGACAUGGCAGUCCGGGAAGGUGAGUGCAAAUUGCAUGGUGGUGGUGGUGGGGAUAA